AAUAAGACAAGAUAUUAUAUUGCCACUAUAUAAGUCUAUGGUGCGCCCACACCUUGAAUACUGUGUCCAGUUCUGGUCGCCCCAUCUCCAAAAGGAUACAGUUGAACUGGAAAAGGUUCAGAAGACACCAACAAAAAUGAUUAAAGGUCUAGAAAACAUGAUCUAU
Long non-coding RNA from Chelonia mydas (Green sea turtle), 166 nucleotides. RefSeq lists it as uncharacterized. The transcript has 3 exons. The record is from RefSeq and is a predicted model, not a curated record. NCBI's taxonomy places the organism in Eukaryota, Metazoa, Chordata, Testudines, Cheloniidae.